UCACGUGGCAAUGCCCAACCACAGUGGAGCCAGAAGAUACACUCCUCCCAAAGGGGGCACAAUGAACCCACAGCAACAGGAAGAGAUGUACAGUCCUCUUAUAGGCAAGCUGCAAAUAACUGGGAACAAUAAGAUCAUCUACCACAAGAAAUCUUUAAUAAUUUCCAAAAAAUUCUUUUCAUUUGAGUCUGUUUAAUUAAUGUGAGAUCAAUUACAGUUUAUCUUACAAUAACCAUAUUUUAGAUUUUAUCUUCCUUCAAGAUUCUAAUGUUGUCCCAAACCUCAGCUUACAUCUGAUGGUAGGCUGUUCUCAAGAUGGACAGCUGCAUAUAUUUUAUUCUAGUUUCUAUUUCCAAAAGAUACAUUUUCUCAUGUUGUCCCCAAAUUCUUGGACCUAAGGCCCCUCAACUCUAACUGACAUUAGUUUAGGAAAGAGAAGGUGAGGAGAAAGGGACUAAAGGUCAGUGUCCUACUCUCUGCCUGGUUGCUGAGUGAGUGAAUGAGCAAAUUAAUGGGCUAUGGCAACUACUGACUGUGUCCCUGGAGGGCCCGAUGAUCAGAAGUGUCAGGCUUUGACUUCAGCAGGAAGAAAUGGUGGUCAGUGUUUGAACAAACUUCCUGGUUUGAAGGAGUUUGGGGGCUGUGGCAGACAGACUCUUAAGGAGGCCUACAUGAUUUUGCCUCCUGGUGUUCACAUCCUUGUGUGAUCCCCACCCCUUGAAUGUGGGUCCUGUGACUUGCUUCUAACCAGUAGAACCUGACAAAUGUGACAGUGAUUGUGUGUACGUGAUGACAUGAUUAUAUCACACGAGAUUGUAACACUUGCCUUGCUGGCAUCUCUCACUCUCUUGCUGGCUUUGAAGAAGCAAGCUGCCAUGUUGUGGCUGCCUUUGUUGGAAGGUGAUGUGGCAAGGAACUGAGGACGGCCUCUAGGAGCUGAGGAUGGACUCCAGCUGACAGCCAGCAAGACACAGAAGCCUUCCAUCCUAAAGCUGUAAGGAACGGAAUCCUGCUAACAAAAGUGAUCCUUCCCCAGACGAGCCUCAGAUGAGGUGGAGCCCCGACCGACACCUUGAUUGCAGCCUUGUGAGACCCUACGCAGAGGACCCAGUCUGUGCCCAGACUCCUGACCCACAGAAACUGAGAAAACUGUGAGAUGCUGUUGGUAUCAUAAAGGCUUAUGGGAGCAUCCUACAAAGAGAAAAGGCUCAUGGCACAGAGCAAAGAGCCCAGGUAGAAUCCAGGUGAGGUCCUCUGCUCAGGGAUUCGCAAGGCUGAAGUCAAGGUGUUGGCCAGUCUGCGUUCUCAUCUGGACGCUCGGGGGAAGAAUGUGCUUCCAACUUCAUUCAGGUGCUGGCAGAAUUCAGCUCCCAGCAGCUGUGUGAUUCAGGUCCCCGUUUUCUUGCUGGCUGUUGGAUGGGACUGCUUUUGGCUCCUAGAGGGUGCUCCCAGCUCCUCACCAUGUGGCCACCUCCACUGGCCGUUCGCAACAUGGCAGUUCACUCUUUAAGGCCAGCAAGAGAAUCUCUUUCCCUGUCAGCUGAAAUGAAGUCUUAUAUAACCUAAUCAUGACAUUAACAAACCCCCACCUUUGUCUUAUUAUGUAACCUCAUCACAGGAAUGGCACUCUAUCAUAUUCACAGGUCCUGUCCACUCUCAAGAGGAAGGAAUUACAUAGGAUGUGUAUACCAGCGGGCAGAACUCUGGGGGGCCAUCUUAGAAUUCUGCCUACCACGGGGCUGUGGGAUUAAAUAAGAUACUGUGUGUAAAACGCUUAGCUCAGUGCCUGGCCCAGAGAAAGACGCAAUAAGUGGUAGUCAUAGUCACCACCAUCAAUACGCAUAGUAGACAAAAUAAUGGCCCCCCAAAGAUGUCCUUGGAAUCUGUCAAUAUGUUAUGCUACGUGGCAAAGAAAAUGAAGGCUGCAGACGGAAUCAAGCUGGCUAAUCAGCUGACCUUAAAAUCGGGAAAUCAUCCUGGAUUUGCUCCUUAUGGAACCACAAGGGUCCUUCAAAGUGGAAGAGUGAGGCAGAAGAAGAGUCAGAACCAGAGAGAUGGCAGCAUGAAAAGACUUGGCCCAACGUUGCUGGCUUUCAAAAUGGAAGAAGAGGACCACGAGCCAAGGAAUGUGGGCGGCAAGGAAUGUGGCCAAGCUGGAAGGGGAGAGGAAUAGAUUUUCCCCUGGAGCCUCCAGGAAAGAAUGCAAGCCUGCUGUCACCUUGACUGUAGCCCGGCGAGACCUGUUUCAGACUUUGGACGUCCAGAACUGUAAGAUAAUAAAUGUGUGUUGUUUUAAGCCACUGCAUUUGUAGUAAUUUGUUCCAGCAUCCAUAGGAAACUAAUACAAUGUUAUGUGUUUUAUCAGGGCUACAGAAAAAGAUUAAAAUGACAGAGUUCAGGGUGCAUAUUGAUUCAUUGGCCAUUUAUAAAAGCCGGUUGAGAAACUGUGAAGUGGAGAAUCUGAAAUGGAGUAGGUGACAGUCUUCCUAUGGCCACUUUGCUCGGUCUGGGUGUAUGUGGUGUGAGGCCUAUGGAGGACGAAGACAGAGCAGAGCACUUCCAAAGGAGACUGACAUGAACGGAGGAGAAACUAGAGCUGAAAAGACAGUGGUGAUGUGCGGAUUGGAUGGGGUUGUUGGGAAAUAGUUGAUGAACUGUCUUUGGAAGAGAACUUAGAAAAGUUGUGCACAGUCCCGAGGGGAGAUGUACUGGGCGGAAGCUACCGGAACUCAGCGCUCAGCUCAGUAUGAGUAAUUGCUUUCUGGAAGUGAUGAUUGUAUCAGUUAGGAACAACAGAUCAGAACUAACAGUGGCUUAAGCAAGAGAGAAGUGUCUUUUCUGUCAUGGUAAAUGCCUUCUGGAGGUGAGAAGUCCAGGACUGGUUUGAAGGUACCAUGAUGUUAGGGAUCCAGGCUCCUUGAUGCGCCUUCUCCCCUAGGUUGAUGCCCUCACCCACACGGUCCAAGGCUGAGAAACAUCACAUCCAUAUUCCCAGAAGCAGGAAGGCGGAAGGGCACGGCCUUUAAGUUCACAUCCCAGAAGUUGCGUCCAUCACUUUUGCUCUCAUCUCAAUGACAAGAACAUGGGCAUAUGGCCUCCUGGCUGCAUAGGAAACUCAUUGUGGGUGGCCACGCAACUUGGCAAAAAGUUGGAGGUUUCUAUCACCAUGGAAAAGGAGGGAAAAAUUGAUUUGGGGGUUGGGGGGGGCAAGACCAACAAGCUCUGCAUAGUGAUGGCUGGGUUAUUUUGGAGGUAGGAUUUUGCUCUCUGUGCUGGACCCUCCCUGUUUUGACACUCCAAUAGCACCCUGAUUCCCCUUUUCAGAAAGAACCUCUCUCCCGUGGAAGUCUGAAGGGACUGUCAGUGGAGGUGCUGCUCUCCCAUAGCCAAGAGCUCCAGCAUUCAUUCUAACUCCAGCCUCAGGGAGAGACUGAUUCCUCUUACUCCUCGAACUGCCUAGUACCUGCCAUUUUUCAGACCAGUUCUCAAACCUUUCCUUGUCUGUCCAAACAUUUCCCUUCUGCUUUGAUCAAUUAGAGGGGAUUUCUUUUGCUUGCAACCUAUCACUCCUUACAGAUACACUCUCCCCGGAGUCUUGCAGCAGAAGCUUGCAACAUCUUGGCAGAACUGGAAGCAAUCCUGUUGUAGGGCAGUGCAUGUUUUACUAUUGCACUGGACAGUCAGAAAGCAAAACACCCACCAAAUGAAAUGAUUUUGCAAAGAUUUACAUUGCCAUCACUAAGUCACUCAGAG
This 3753-nucleotide long non-coding RNA is filed under the name Equus caballus (horse). RNAcentral describes it as "lncRNA (ENSECAG00000046863.1)". The record is from RNAcentral. Lineage: Eukaryota; Metazoa; Chordata; Mammalia; Perissodactyla; Equidae.